Molecule: ribosomal RNA, 1176 nt
Filed under: Triticum aestivum (bread wheat)
Lineage: Eukaryota; Viridiplantae; Streptophyta; Magnoliopsida; Poales; Poaceae
Description: partial small subunit ribosomal RNA
Source: RNAcentral
AUGAACCAAGCACCACUAUCUGCUAGACCGUGGCGGCAGAAUCGAGCACGGGUGCGCGCGGCCGUCUCACCCGUGACCGGUGGCUGCUUCGCGUUCGUCGACAGAUUGCGAUGCUGCUGCUGCUCGUAUGGGCUCCCGGUGACCAGGCCAGCAUGCGCUGGGGCUGCCUGGGCUCCCAGCAGCCGGCCUCCCCGCCGCCUCCAACAUCGCCUGGAGAGGAGCUCCUCUGUGCUUCCGAGCCGCCUCCUCGAGCAGGGCAGCCAGAGGGAAGGGAGUCAGCACAUGGAACACAACUGGAACGCCCCGCCUUGGAGCUCGCUGCCUCCGGCAACCUCUUUGUCGGCCUCGUGCUCCUCUGUCUCGAGCACCCCCUCCUGGCCGCCGUCCAUCUCUUGGUGUUGUCUCCUUCAGGCCGAGGAGGAUGAGUGGGGCUCUCGCAGCUGGGCCACUGCGGCCGCGUUGACUGAGGAUGAGCGCGCGUGUCCGGCGCAUAUGGCCCGUCCUCCGCGCCUCCGCUCCUGCUCCUCCUCUCGCCCGGGCAACGUCCCGCUCACGCCCUUCAUGUGCUCGCCGCCGUCGUUCUGCGCCCGAUCGGAUCGGGAGCACCGCAGCUCGAUACAGCCCAAAAAGAUCUUGAACCGCCCGCAGGAUCUGGCCAUCGCGGCAUUGGACAAUGACAAGGAGACAGUCGCUGAUGGAAGCUUGGACAGCAACGACAACGAUGCAGAGCAGGAUGCAGCUAUGGAUGCUCUAGUCCUCGAGAUUUUCGCCUUCUCCAAUGAUAGGAGCGAGGACGAGGAGGGAGAGGAACAUUUGGCGAAGGGGGUCGAACUUCCUUCUGCGAAACCUGCUUCAGGGCAUUAUCAAGAUGGGAAGGCUUCUGCUUUGAGGGAAAUCAAGAAGAAGAGAGAAGAGUUGUUUGAUCUGAUUGCUGACACAGAAAGGCGAUACGACACCCGGCUUACCAAGGAAGGCUGUCAAAACACACGCAUGCUCCAGCAGCUUGCGGUGCAAAUCGAGCCUAGACCCAAUGACCCCUUGUGGCGGUUGAAACGGUUUUCGAAGAGACUCAAUGAUUUUCUGGGGCUAGCCGGGGCUGUUAUAUCAUCCUAUAUGCUUACGCGGAAGUGGCUUCACUUGGACCAAGAGGCAGAUCCAAAAGGGGAGAAGACCUAA